RNAcentral lists this long non-coding RNA (257 nucleotides) under Panax ginseng (ginseng). Its description in RNAcentral is "long non-coding RNA (PGIN_LNC000498)". The record is from RNAcentral. Lineage: Eukaryota; Viridiplantae; Streptophyta; Magnoliopsida; Apiales; Araliaceae.
AAAUCUUAAAUGAUUGAUUUAAGGUCAAAUAAUAGACCUAGACAGAAAAUAAGUGUAUGCAUUUGAUGUUAUUAGGAUGGAAUUUUGAGGAUUUCAAAAUUUCGUGAAGGCUUAUAGGUGAAUUAUUCAGGAUUAAGUGUUUUUGUGAUUAAGUUCUGUGAAUAUGGUUAUGUUCUGUGUACAAAAUGUGGUUAAGGGUCAAGGGUUGACCAGAUAAAUUAUAUCUGUAACAAACCCUAAGAAUAUAUUAAGAACAA